ACAUUUCUUCUCAUUUUCUCUCCUCUUCAUAUGCCUUUUUAUUUUCUCAUGAAAAACUGUCUUCUUACAUUCAAUCAAACUGAUAUGAGCUUGCAGACUCACCCUUCUUCAACCCCUUUUUUCUCUUUCCCUCCUUGGUCUUACUGCUUUUUUUCUUCAAUUUUUUUUUUAUAAGAUUUUUAUUUUUAUUUUCCUUUAUUUAAUUAAUAAACUUUAACUUUCACAAAUCUAUAAAUGCAGUGGCACUAGAAAUGUAUUUAAUGUUAAGUUACUUCUGUUUCAUAGUGUAUUGUGGGAGUCAAUCAAUAUAUGAAAGUGAUUGCAAAAAGAAUUCCCAAAUCAAGAGAUCCAAUGUGAUAUUGAUUUAUGAAGCUCAUCACAUCUUGUCUUGUAGUGGUAGUAAAUGUCCAAAACCCAUACAACCCAAUUCAAAAAGUGCCAUGUUCAAGCCAUUUUAGGUCCAAAUUCAGGUUUUCCACAAAACCCAGAUUCCAAAAAUGCCCAUUUCAGUCAUUAUAGGUCCAGAAAUUCCAAAUUCCUACUAAACCCAAUUUUUUUU
Vitis riparia (riverbank grape) is the source of this 559-nucleotide long non-coding RNA. RefSeq lists it as uncharacterized. The transcript has 2 exons. The record is from RefSeq and is a predicted model, not a curated record. Lineage: Eukaryota; Viridiplantae; Streptophyta; Magnoliopsida; Vitales; Vitaceae.